AUUUCAAUAGCGUUUAAAUUUUGUAAACGCUCUUAAAUGAUUAUGAACGCUAUUAAAUGAAAGUUAUGAAACCCAUGUACUGAAAAUACGAGCGGGAAACAAAAACAAUGCCCGGGGAUUUAAUUUAUGAGUUCAAAGCGUGACCCAACUCCCAAUACUCCAUCAUUUCAAAGCGCGAACAAAAACUCUUCUCUUUCUCUCUUGACAAAAGAUCCCAGCAACUUUCUUCAUCCAACCAAAACCCUAGAUCCCUGCGAUUUUCUUCAUUCCAGUGACUUCCAUGGGAAAGCUCUUCGCCAUCCAAUCCAAACCCUAGAUCUUUUGGUCUGACACAAAUUGGAAUCAGAUUGAUACAUUCAAUUUCAAAGAGAAUGCAAAGCAAGGCUCCACGUACGUGUCUUCGGCAAGGUUUUCCAAUCCCGAAUUCCGACUCUGUUGGUCUCAAUGUUUGCCACCUUCGCCUCAAUCUACUUCUCCAGACGGUUGUAGCAAGAUUCUGAGAACAAGGUUUAUUUGAUUAAAGAGCUUGAUAGGAUUACUGGGCAGGGAACAACAUAAGAAGUUAUCAGUAGUUAAGAUGGAGUUCGCUGCAGCCAAUCAAGAGGGUUAGAGCGUUCAACGCUGAAAAAUGGAACCAGGCAACUGGUGGUGAUUGGAAUUUUUACAAAAUUUGGUUGUAAGAACAAUAGAGAUGCAAUUCGUAAGACUUGGAUGGGAAAUGGUAUUGGUACCCUUUUGGCAAACUAUGAUGACCUCAAAAUAUUUCAAGACCCUGGUAUUGCUUAAGUUGUCAUGUAACUAGAUCAAGGUAUUAAAUUAGUUCUUUUAUUCCAUGUGCCAUGAAAAAAUUCAUAUUUCUGUUUUAAAGUUUUGAAUUAAUAUGCUUUAUGAUUGACCAAGGAGGCCAUGAUCUACUGCAAAGUUUUCUCUCAACCCUCCCUCAGCUAGCACAUAUGUAAAGUAUGAUAUAUCAAUCUGCUGAAAAGAUUUCAUUCACAUGCAAGAGAAUCAUCGCCCUACGCACGUAUAAAGAACCUUAAAAGGAAAAGUUACUGGAGAUGAUGAGCAUGUGCAUACGUGUGAAGCUUGUAAUUAAGAGAGGACUGAUCUAACUAACUAAUUUAAAGUCCUAGCCCUUCGUUGAAUGACUAUAAGCACCCAAGGGAAUUCUAGAAUGAGUACUGGACUACCAGCACAAUUGACACUGUAAGUUGGAAUACUUUAGCUUGUUAUCGGUCUAUUUACUGAACCAGAAUUACUUCAAAGUUAGAGAGAAGGGGUUAUUUAUGGGAUGUGUGGUUGAAACUAAAGGCCAAGCUCAAGAGUUGGAAUGGUCGAGGAGUUGAAAAGUGAAUGGUUCUUUCAAGAACCCAGUUAGCAGUUUCAAUGGCUGUGAGAAGUAUAAUAGACCAUUGUGGACAAUCAUUGCAUUAGAAUAGGCAUUAUGUGUGUUCAAGAAAUUAGCAUGUUAUCAACCAGUAUGCUGAGUUUCAUGUCGACAAUCAAAAGAAAGCCAAAAAUCAUUGUUCGUGGGUUAAUUCUAGCAGAAUUUGUAUCAUUAUUAUAAAGGGAGAAAACAUUGUUGGCUGAGAUAUGAAGUGCUCUUGUAAUUUUAGUAAUGUCACAUUGUAUUUUGGUUACUUUUGAGAUCAUUAAUGAAAAUGAUGUAUUUUUGAUGUGAA
Rosa chinensis is the source of this 1682-nucleotide long non-coding RNA. RefSeq lists it as uncharacterized. The record is from RefSeq and is a predicted model, not a curated record. The transcript has 8 exons. NCBI's taxonomy places the organism in Eukaryota, Viridiplantae, Streptophyta, Magnoliopsida, Rosales, Rosaceae.